CACAAGUUCUUGAGCAAAGCGUUUCCUAAUGUGCCUAGGAUCCACUGUGCG
This 51-nucleotide unclassified non-coding RNA is filed under the name Mammarenavirus piritalense. RNAcentral's name for it is "3' non-coding region (NCR)". The record is from RNAcentral. Lineage: Riboviria; Orthornavirae; Negarnaviricota; Bunyaviricetes; Hareavirales; Arenaviridae.